GGGCCGCACGCGCGCUACACUGACUGAGCCAGCGAGUCUUGNNNNNCCUUGGCCGAGAGGUCNCGGGUAAUCUUGUGAAACUCAGUCGUGCUGGGGAUAGAGCAUUGUAAUUUUUGCUCUUCAACGAGGAAUUCCUAGUAAGCGCAAGUCAUCAGCUUGCGUUGAUUACGUCCC
RNAcentral lists this ribosomal RNA (174 nucleotides) under Hyphopichia burtonii. RNAcentral describes it as "partial 18S ribosomal RNA". It matches the Rfam family "Eukaryotic small subunit ribosomal RNA", at positions 1484 to 1653 of the family's 1831-position model. Lineage: Eukaryota; Fungi; Ascomycota; Pichiomycetes; Serinales; Debaryomycetaceae. The record is from RNAcentral.